RNAcentral lists this ribosomal RNA (574 nucleotides) under uncultured bacterium. Its description in RNAcentral is "partial 16S ribosomal RNA". It matches the Rfam family "Bacterial small subunit ribosomal RNA", at positions 355 to 920 of the family's 1533-position model. The record is from RNAcentral.
UGGGGAAUAUUGCACAAUGGGCGCAAGCCUGAUGCAGCCAUGCCGCGUGUGUGAAGAAGGCCUUCGGGUUGUAAAGCACUUUCAGCGAGGAGGAAGGUGGUGAACUUAAUACGUUCAUCAAUUGACGUUACUCGCAGAAGAAGCACCGGCUAACUCCGUGCCAGCAGCCGCGGUAAUACGGAGGGUGCAAGCGUUAAUCGGAAUUACUGGGCGUAAAGCGCACGCAGGCGGUUUGUUAAGUCAGAUGUGAAAUCCCCGGGCUCAACCUGGGAACUGCAUUUGAAACUGGCAAGCUAGAGUCUCGUAGAGGGGGGUAGAAUUCCAGGUGUAGCGGUGAAAUGCGUAGAGAUCUGGAGGAAUACCGGUGGCGAAGGCGGCCCCCUGGACGAAGACUGACGCUCAGGUGCGAAAGCGUGGGGAGCAAACAGGAUUAGACACCCUGGUAGUCCACGCUGUAAACGAUGUCGAUUUUGGAGGUUGUGCCCUUGAGGCGUGGCUUCCGGAGCUAACGCGUUAAAUCGACCGCCUGGGGAGUACGGCCGCAAGGUUAAAACUUAAAGGAAUUGACGGGGUC